RNAcentral lists this long non-coding RNA (1267 nucleotides) under Macaca mulatta (Rhesus monkey). RNAcentral's name for it is "lncRNA (ENSMMUG00000049866.1)". Lineage: Eukaryota; Metazoa; Chordata; Mammalia; Primates; Cercopithecidae. The record is from RNAcentral.
GUCUGAGCUUUGCUGGAAGGUGAAUUAGAUUUUGAAAAUAAAAAGAGAAAUUCGUUGCUCAUUUAGCUGCCUUAAAUCAUCUCUAGGGUAAGAUAUUAUAUAUGUAUAUGCAUGUAUAAAACAUACAUAUGUAUAUUUAGAGAGACAUAUAUAUGCAAUACAUGUACAUACAUAAUUCAUUCAUCUAUGAGAUAUUAGACAAAGCACCAUUUGGUACGUUGAAGUACCCAGCUUUACAUUUUCCAAAUCUCUACUAGCCCACUCUUUCUAAUGUUCACCUUCUGGAACCAUGCAGGUUGCAAAGUGAAUGGAGAUUAGCUGUCUAUGGGUGUUCAUCAGACACUGAAGAAUACUGUUGGGUUGCAGCAGCUGUUAUUUUCUGGCAGAAACCAAAUCAUUUGGAAUGCUGCAGAAUGAGAAGCUUCCUGUCAACUGGUGGCACUUACCACAAGGGAGCAGAGGCCUUUUUACGCCGGCUCUUAAUCUGCAAGUAACAGAACCUACCUGUACAAAUAGCUUUACUGGAUGGUGUGAUGGCUCCAUGAAAUAGUAUCCUGCAGCCAAGACCAUCCUCAAGGAGGUUAAUGAAUGUGGCACCACAGGAAAAAUAUGCAUCAACAUUGAAAAGUAAGAUGAAUUAUUUUACCUGGUAGUAUUUUUUUUGUUAAUUAUACUUUAUUUGUUUACAUUAAUAUCCUUAUGUUGUCAGAGGUGCAUUAAGACAAUAACAGUUUUGCUCCGAAGAAAAAGUCAUUGGUGCUUUCUCCUGGAAUAUUUUCCUAUGACCUUAGUUCUCUAGAGAAGCUUGUGUGGUGAGCCUGUAGUAAUGAGAUUUGAGAGGUAAUGGGAAUGGAAUGUGAAACAAGGGAAGAGUAGGGUACCGAAGAUUCAUAAUCUGAAAAUUUUGCUUUGAACUAGCUGGGACCAGAGUAUCUACACAUAAGGUCACACCAAUUAAUUCUGAAUUUACCAAGAGUUGUUUUACAUACUGCAAAGUUUAGAAUAAUAAUAUAUAUAUAUAUAAAUAAUUUUAUUUUUACAAUGGUAUGCUUCUUUUCAAGUGUCUGCUUUUUAGAGACUUGAGUCAAUAACAAAUUAGAAAAAGUGACCUGACUUCUAAUUUUUCAAUUCUGAAAUAUUCCUAUUGUGAUGAUUAUUUUUAUGGGGUAAAAGGGAACUGAGAUCUAACCUUCUCAAUCCUAGAUAGAUUUUAAAAUCAUUUGAAGAAAUUCAAUAAUUAUUCAUGCUAAGAUUUUACUGAAAACCA